RNAcentral lists this transfer RNA (75 nucleotides) under Bacillota bacterium. RNAcentral describes it as "tRNA-Cys". It matches the Rfam family "tRNA". From Rfam's summary of the family: Transfer RNA (tRNA) molecules are approximately 80 nucleotides in length. Their secondary structure includes four short double-helical elements and three loops (D, anti-codon, and T loops). Lineage: Bacteria; Bacillati; Bacillota. The record is from RNAcentral.
GGCGACAUAGCCAAGCGGCAAGGCAGCGGUCUGCAAAACCGCUAUUCCCCGGUUCGAAUCCGGGUGUCGCCUCCA